UACGGAGGGUCCGAGCGUUAUCCGGAAUCAUUGGGUUUAAAGGGUCCGUAGGCGGAUUAUUAAGUCAGAGGUGAAAUCCCGCAGCUUAACUGUGGAACUGCCUUUGAUACUGGUAGUCUUGAGUUGUUUGGAAGUAGAUAGAAUAUGUAGUGUAGCGGUGAAAUGCUUAGAUAUUACAUAGAAUACCGAUUGCGAAGGCAGUCUACUACGAACAUACUGACGCUAAUGGACGAAAGCGUGGGGAGCGAACAGG
This 253-nucleotide ribosomal RNA is filed under the name uncultured bacterium. Its description in RNAcentral is "partial 16S ribosomal RNA". It matches the Rfam family "Bacterial small subunit ribosomal RNA", at positions 524 to 776 of the family's 1533-position model. The record is from RNAcentral.